UCCCUGUCUAUCAAUCUUCUUCAUCUUGACUGACUCGGUACAUUGUUUUUCGAAACUAGAACAAGCAGAGCAGCAGAAUGAAGCCAAUUAAUCUCCUAGUCAUUCUACUGCUAUUGAUCGUCGUCGUCGUCGAAGUCUCGGAUGCCAGGAAGUUUGUUGUUGAUGAAGAAGUGAACAAUCGUUCCAACAACAUAUUUGGCAAUCAAUAUCAGAUAAUCCCAACUGCUACUACUACUGCACAUGAUAUUAACUUGGCAAAGUCGCACACAUAUGAACCACUAAAAUCUGGUGCCAAUCUUACAAUUACAGAAGGCAAUAUCGACAAACGUCGAGCUGGACGCGGUUUCGUUCAUCCCAGUCCUAGUCGUCCUGAUGGACAACAUCGUCGUUAGUCAGCGUUGAUUGCAAUGCAUAUAUCCUGGGGCAUCUGUUUGCUAUUUUGUUAUUGUUUUCUGAAUAAUAUAACUUUCUAUGUAAUACUGCAAUACUUUGUCGAUCAUGUUACUCAAAUAUUCACGUUGAGUGAGUAUUGUUGUUGUUGUUGUUCGUGGUGGUGGUGGUGUUACUUAUGAAUUUACUCAGGAUACAUAGAAUAAUACAA
Long non-coding RNA from Tripterygium wilfordii, 601 nucleotides. RefSeq lists it as uncharacterized. The transcript is spliced from 2 exons. NCBI's taxonomy places the organism in Eukaryota, Viridiplantae, Streptophyta, Magnoliopsida, Celastrales, Celastraceae. The record is from RefSeq and is a predicted model, not a curated record.